AACGAACGCUGGCGGCAUGCCUAACACAUGCAAGUCGAACGAUACCUUCGGGUCUCUUGGCGCACGGGUGCGUAACGCGUGGGAACCUGCCCUUAGGUUCGGAAUAACUUCCCGAAAGGGGUUCUAAUACCGGAUAAUUUCUUCAUACCAAAGAUUUUUCGCCUUUGGAUGGGCCCGCGUUGGAUUAGCUAGUUGGUAGGGUAAAAGCCUACCAAGGCGACGAUCCAUAGCUGGUCUGAGAGGAUGAUCAGCCACACUGGGACUGAGACACGGCCCAGACUCCUACGGGAGGCAGCAGAGGGGAAUAUAGGAAAAUGGGGGAAAGGCUGAACCAGCAAGGCCGGGUGAGUGAUGAAGGCGUUAGGGUUGUAAAGAUCGUUUACCCGGGAGGAUAAUGACAGUACCGGGAGAAUAAGCUCCGGCUAACUCCGUG
RNAcentral lists this ribosomal RNA (433 nucleotides) under uncultured bacterium. RNAcentral's name for it is "partial 16S ribosomal RNA". It matches the Rfam family "Bacterial small subunit ribosomal RNA", at positions 29 to 507 of the family's 1533-position model. The record is from RNAcentral.